RNAcentral lists this ribosomal RNA (534 nucleotides) under uncultured Glomeromycotina. RNAcentral describes it as "SSU rRNA". It matches the Rfam family "Eukaryotic small subunit ribosomal RNA", at positions 548 to 1087 of the family's 1831-position model. The record is from RNAcentral. Lineage: Eukaryota; Fungi; Glomeromycota.
UUGGAGGGCAAGUCUGGUGCCAGCAGCCGCGGUAAUUCCAGCUCCAAUAGCGUAUAUUAAAGUUGUUGCAGUUAAAAAGCUCGUAGUUGAAUUUCGGGGUCAGUAGGUUGGUCAUGCCACUGGUAUGUACUGGUCUCACUGAUUCCUCCUUCCUGAUGAGCCGUAAUGCCAUUAAUUUGGUGUUGCGGGGAAUUUGGACUGUUACUUUGAAAAAUUAGAGUGUUUAAAGCAGGCUCACGCUUGAAUACAUUAAUGGAAUAAUGAAAUAGGACGUUCGAUCCUAUUUUGUUGGUUUCUAGGAUUGACGUAAUGAUUAAUAGGGAUAGUUGGGGGCAUUAGUAUUCAAUUGUCAGAGGUGAAAUUCUUGGAUUUAUUGAAGACUAACUACUGCGAAAGCAUUUGCCAAGGAUGUUUUCAUUAAUCAAGAAUAAAAGUUAGGGGAUCGAAGACGAUCAGAUACCGUCGUAGUCUUAACCAUAAACUAUGCCGACUAGGGAUCGGAUGAUGUUAAUUUUUAAUGACUCAUUCGGCGCC